GCCAGAGUAGCUCAGUGGUAGAGCAGAGGACUCAUAAGCCUUUGGUCGUGGGUUCAACUCCCACCUCUGGUA
This 72-nucleotide transfer RNA is filed under the name bacterium. RNAcentral describes it as "tRNA-Met". It matches the Rfam family "tRNA". From Rfam's summary of the family: Transfer RNA (tRNA) molecules are approximately 80 nucleotides in length. The record is from RNAcentral.